Zeugodacus cucurbitae (melon fly) is the source of this 7718-nucleotide long non-coding RNA. RefSeq lists it as uncharacterized. The record is from RefSeq and is a predicted model, not a curated record. NCBI's taxonomy places the organism in Eukaryota, Metazoa, Arthropoda, Insecta, Diptera, Tephritidae. The transcript has 2 exons.
UUACCAUUAGCGUCGACAGCUUAGUGGCGAUUUUCGAAUGCACAAUAAAUAACGUUAUAAAUAUGAGCUUUUCUGGGAUAAUAUUUGAUAGUUUUGAAAUUUUAAUAUUGUCAUUUGUGAAGUUUAGUUCAAAAUGGUUUGCCAAACAAGUAUUGAAUCUUAAAGAAUUAUAAAUAUGGAUAAAGUCAACGUAAAAUCGCGGAAAGCGUGAAACUGAAUCAAGGAACUGUUCAGUAUAUCAUUGAACGUUAUGUCCGUGAAAAUCGUGUCGCAAAUAAAAAGAAAUCGGCUCAUAAUAAAAUAUUUAAUGAAAGUGAUUCUCGUUGGAUUGUACGGAAAAUACGGGAAGAUCCCCAUUUAAGUGCUCCAGUUUAAUGCAGCGAAGUGGAAAAAUAUUUGGGGAAAAAAAGUCAUAAGAAGAGUGCUCAGAGAAGCUGAUUUCAAUAAAUAAGCCAUCCAUCAAUGCUAAAAAUCGAAGUGCUAUAUUGAGUUUCAAAAGAACAUAUGUAUAUAAUAUUAGAGUGAAAGCUUCUGAGAUACCGUAAUUUUUGCAGAUGAAAGUAAAUUCAACCUAUUUAGAUAGGAUGGAAAGAGUUAUGCAUGGAGAAAAGCAAAAGGAGAGCUACAACCGCACAAUCUACGUAGCACCGUAAAACAUGUAAAAAAUUGAAAAUUUAUUCAGAUUUUUAUCAAGAUUUUGGUAUUAUGUGACAAGUUUGAUAAAAUAAAAAGCUUCAGUACGCAUAGAUUUUCCCCGCACGUAUGGGAAACAAAAUAAUGUAAACAGAAACAGCUGAUUUCUGAUCAAAUUAUAUUCGAAUUGCAUUGAAAAAUUUUAUUAAAUACUAAAUAACAUAAGUUUUCAAAUAGUUAAUAAUUUAGCUUUAAUCCUUUGCUCCUGUUCUAGACGUAGGUUUUCUGAAAGUGCGCAAAUAUUCCAUGCUCCGAAUCUGGCCUUAUUUUUCAUGAUAAAAAUCGUUGAGUGUUUGUUUUCACCGAGCCUUUUUUUAUUGUGUCUUCGUAGAUAAGUUUGGUUUAAGAUUGAUCGGUUAUCAGUUUAUCUAACCAAUUCUUAUUAUCUACCCGCCUUUACUCGUUCGCCAGAGCCUCGUUUGCUAACCACACAGAAGGUGCCGGCCAUAGAUGAGGUUGAUAAUCGGAUGGCAGAGGCUAUGUAUUCGCUUUUCGAUCUCACAUCCCCUGGAGUCUUUUGCUCCACCGCGGAGCCAUAGUGUAUAUAAUAUAAUACUUAUACAUAAGACCUACCUAUACAUAAUCCUUGAGUCUUUAGAUUUCAAAAUAAUUGGAAUGCAAUUUUAUUUUAGUUGGUUGUUAUGCUUAGCUUCAGAAAAGUUCCUUGGGAACUUGCCAAAAUUUGCUAAAUUGUAAUAGUAUGCAAUAUAUGGAAAACUAUUUCGACAAAGUUACCUUCAUUUAUUUUAUACAAAAAAGGAAAAAGAAAUAUCUUAAUAUAAAAUCUUCUGAAUAACGCGGACCAUCACCGUGUUCACAAUUUUAACAACAAUUAACAACAAAAGUAAAAUAUCCAUUGCAAAAAAUCACACAUCCAGAUAUUUUAUUUGUAAAGAACACUGUUAAGAGCAUUUCUUAACAAUUUAUCAAGAAAAGAGCUUUUUAUUUUAGAUACAGAUUUUGUGGUAUUUCACUAAACACAGCUAAAAAUAGCUAAGAAACCUAGGAAAGAGCUUAUAUACAAAAGCUUUGCAAAAUAUUUUGCCAAAAAAUAAGAAAAUAAGACAUUUUUCACAAUUUUUUUUUGAAAAACGCCAGGGACAUGUAUCGCGUAUUUCUAUGGUCGUACGUGACUGGCUUUUAAGAUAAAUUUAAAUUACCUCUGUUUGUUAUGGCGAAAAUACAUAUUGUUGCCUUUUUUUUAUAAAUUUAAAAAUUACUUUCUCAUUACAUAUAUGUAAAUAUUUAUUGUUUCCAUUUUUUUCUGAUGUCUAUGAAAAAAUCUGGUAUUUGAGUUUACUACAAUUCAAUGUGUGUCAUAGUACGUAGUAAACACAAUACCAUAAUACUUUUAUCAUGGUAUUUUACCACAUAUGUGUUUCGAGUAUAUUUACAUAUAUUUUUGGAAAAUUUAUUUAGUUUUCAGGUAACACUUGCUUUAAUAUUUCUUAUACGGUUGCAUCACUUCGGCUGUGAGCCACUGUAUGUACAUAAAUAUAAUGUAUCAAUGCAUUAAAGCCUUAAUAGCGUCGUCACAUAAGCCCAUUAUAUUUCCAACGUUGUUCCAACCCUGAGUUCUUAUGGUAGUAUACAUAUUAUAUAAAGAGAAGCAUUGUAAUUUAGUUUAUGGAUAAAAAAAUGAACAUUUUUGACGACUUAUAAACAUAAAACCACAAAAAUUUUUGCUUGUUGCACUGGUUACAAUUCCAUAUUUAUAAAUCGUAUUCAGUAUACAUACAUACAUGCAUACAUAUGUGCAGAUCAAAAGUAAAAAGUCAAACAUAUGCAAAUCUAUUCAGACCACGACAUUUAAAACAGUGGUCGGCACGAGAGGAAUUGUGACUGUAUAGGUGAGCAUGAAGUAAUGAAUACCCAGUGAGAACUCUGUAGCCUAACAUUUUAAGAAUGUUUUUAAUUUUUUCAUAAAACAUGAAUUUUUGUGAUCAUUUAUUCAUUUUGGUUAUUUUAUUAUUUAAACAAAUAUAUUAGAACACAAAAGCAUUAACUUUUCUGUCUUUAAAUAGCUUAAAACCAUAAAUAUAAUACAUAACAUAAAACGACAUUCAUCAAAGUAGGCAUUUCGCGCAGGGCACUUAUGCAAAGUGCCAUAGCUAUGCGCGAUGUUUACUCGUUGCUGGUUCGACAACGACUGAAUGAUAGAGCGUAAGCGUACGUGUGACUUGAGUCGGCACAAUUGUGGUAUGGAGUGCCGACCACUGAUUUAAAACAACACAAAUGAUGUAUGUACAUUAGGGUGGCCCUUAUUUUCCAAAGUAUUCCGAUUCUUGAUCGCACCCCCUAGAAAUAUGCGAAUAGCCCAAAAACUAGUAUAUACAAAGUUUUGGGUCAAUCAAAAAAGGUUUAGAGGUUGCGCAAGGAGCUUGAAAUCCUGAAAAAUUAAGAAUUUUUGCCAUUUUUAUGUCUCCAUAUUUCAAAGCCACACUAUCUGGUUUCCAUACCGUAAUAAGAUCUGCAUUUUAUUAUCUUUCCAAAAUUACCACAACCUUAAAAUCGGUCGAUUGAUGAUAGAGUUACAGAAAUACAAAUAUGAAAGUAAAUUUAAUGUGGUGCAUUCUCAAGCGUCGCAUGCUCGUGAUAUACCGUUAUAACGGUUCUAAUGUUAUUCUUAUUAUCUUAUUACGGUAUGGAAAACCAGUAAGGGAUAGUGUGACUUUGCAAUAUGCAAGUCUGAGACAUAAAAAUGGCAAAAAUUCUUAUUUUUUCAGGAUUUCAAGCUCCUUGCGCAACCUCUAAACCUUUUUUGAUUGACCCAAAACUUUGUAUAUACUAGUUUUUGGGCUAUUCGCAUAUUUCUAGGGGGUGAGAUCGAGAAUCCUAAAACUUUUUUUAUCCUCCAUACAACUAAGGGUCACCCUAAUGUACAUAUGUAGAUUUAUGCUCUUAUUGCUCCAUUUUUAGUGAACUAAUCAAAAUCAGAAGUCUCGCUAAGUUUCAUUUCGUUAUAUUGAAUUGGCUAUAUCAGAUCAGAAUUUAUGUAUAUAUGUAUUCUCUAGAUAUGCCUUUCGAUUUAUAAUUUUUAUUUUAUAAAAUUUGUUCAUGAUUCAAUUAUAAAAGGUUUGGUAAGUAAACAGAGUGUAUUCAACUAAGUGAAGUAAGUAUAUGACAUUUCAGUUUUCUUUACCCGAAUUUGACAUGUGUGUUGCCAUUGAUUUAACCCUCACAUUGAUUCAAAAAUUCAAAUUUUGAAAUUCAAAAGUAAACAAACCAAAGAAAAUAUUUUUUAAAUGAAUAAAAGAAAAUGACGAAUACUUUCUGCUUGUGCAAAACAACUCAUGUAAGCAAUUUACUAAUGUUUUGUGCUUCAACUGACAAAUUGCAAAAAAUUUUAUCAAUGUGUAUUAUAUUGUUCAAGAUAAAAAAGAUGGGUUAAUGUAAACAAAUACAUGAAUUGUUUACUAUUUUAUUGUCAAACAAGGGUAUGUCAAAUACUUAGUUCACUUUGUUGAAUAUACUCACGCAACCAAGUUGCUAAAGAGAGAAUUAUAGUUUUGUUCACAUAAAGGUUGUUUGUAACACCCAAAACUAAAUGAGUUAGAUAUAGGGUUAUAUAUACCAAAGUGACCAAGAUGAAGUGCUGAACACAAAGACGACGACACGACACGACGUAGCGACGGCUGACCACAAAUGUCGCUUCGAAGCCAGCGUCUUGAACAUUUUGAAGACGGCAGCGACAUAUCACACAGCAUUUUCAUUGUUGCCGUACUAACAUCUUUCACUUCAAUAAAAUUUACAUAUUUAGUUUAAAGUGAAAUUAUUUACGCAAAAAAAUUUUAAAAUGGUCGAUUUAUUUGUUUUAAAUAAUCGAUUGUUAUUAUAAAUGAUAUAUCAAAGUUAUUUUACGUUUCUGCAGACAAAAUAACGUCAUACUUGUUAGAACUUUGAAUAAUUUUACAUUUCACAUAUUAGUGGCAGCUUUACAGCGGCCAUUGUCGUCGGCAAAAUUAGAAACAUUUCUAAUUUGGCGACAGCGAAGACUUCAACCCUUUUGUCGUGAAGUCGUGCUGUUGUCAAAAAAUCUGUGCCCAUAUGAACGCGUGUAUUUUAAUAUUUGACAGAUGUCGCUCGUCGCUUGUCGUCUUCUAUGUGUUCAACACAUGAAAAGUGAAGUUCAAAUCCGGAUGUCAAGCUGUAACUUGAGUAAAAAUUGAGAUAUCUUGAUGAAACUUGGUGCACGUGUUUCUUGGCACCAUAGGAAGGUAGCUUUCGGACCACUGUCACGCCCACAAAAUGGCGAAAUCCGAAAACACGAAGUGCCAUAACUAAGCUAUAAAUAAUAAAAUAUAAAUAUAAAUAAAGCUAUUGAAGUAAAAUUUGGUAUGAAGGAUCGCACUAUGAAGGGGGAUGUAAUCUUUUUUGGGAAGUGGGCGUGGCCCCGCCACUUACUAAGUUUUUUGUACAUAUCUCGUAAACUACUCAAGCUAUAUCAACGAAAUUUUCAGGAGUCGUUUUUUACAGGCAUUUCCUUAUACAGUCCAAAAAUGGUGGAAAUCGGAUUAUAACCACGCCCACCUCCUAUACAAAGGUUAUGUUGAAAACUCCUAAAAAUGCUUUAAUUCAGUAAGGGAAAACACGAGGAACUUUAAAUUUCACUAUAAAGAACGUACAGAAGGGCUCCGCCCACUUAUGGGUCAAGAACCAUAUCUCCGAAACUACUCGACCAAUUUAAAUGAAUAUUGGUUUCACAACCACGCCUACUUCCUAUAUUCCAGAACUUUGAAGUCGACCUGAAUAGUUUACAAUGUAUAAAGUAAGCACUAGUGAACAUAUUGGAACAGAACUUUGCAUAAAUACUGCAUUUAUAGUGUGGCUGCCCCUUUCUAAAGAUCGCCGAAAUCGGACCAUAGGUUUUCAAGUCCCCAUAUAUCGAACAUGAGAACUUCGAUGCUUCUAACCUAAUAUUAGGGUUUCCAACUUUCAAUGGACUUUAUACCAUAUAUAUGACGAAUAUGUGGGUCAAAUAGUCUAUUAUAUAAUAUAAAUAAAUAAAUUGCGAGAGUAUAAACUUAGCCCUUCCUUACUUGUUAAUAUUAAAACCAUAGCUGCUUUGUUUAUUUACAUAAACGGUAACUGUGGAUAAGGUACAUGUAUGUUAAAUUCUAUUCUGGUUAACUAUUAGAUAAAGUGAAAUUAUUCAGGGAGCAACUAAUUAUUUAAAAAUAUAGACAAAAAUGGUAUAACAGUUGCUGUAUUUUGAAGUUAAUGUUGUCAACAUUGAACUCAAGCUGCCAAUGUAUCUUUUUGUACUUUAAUCUCAAUUAAUUGAUUUUUGUCGUGAACAAUAGGUCAUAAAUUGUCUGGUUUGUCUGGCAUUUGGAAAUAUAUAUAUUAGUAUUUGGUUGCAGUUCUAUUCCACCGCUCCCAAUAAUAAUAUUUGUGUUGAGGAAUCAAUUUGAAGUUGUAUCAUGCGUUAUUCUCAUUGUUAAAAGUACAUAAGGAUGUCAAAAUAAUAUGCAUAGAAUUUAUAUCAAAACGGUCAAAGAGUAAUGUAGAUUUCACUUCAAAUUAUCGCUGGAUGGACGGAUGGACAUUGCGACUAAAAUUUUAAAUAUAAACUAUUAUGUAUAUCUUUCAAGUUGGACCAAACUGCAGACUUGUGCAAAAUUUCCUUAAAAUCGGUUCAGUAGUUUAGACGCCAAUUCCGGACAAACAACGUGAUAUGAAAUUAUAAAUUAAAUAUAUAUAGAUGUAUAUAGUGAAAAUAAAAUUAAAUGUUUGUUUCAUGGAGAAAAAUUUUAAAUAUGACUAUUAAUAUUGACUGACCAUAUUUCCAUGCUAUUUAUUAAUUUUGGUUCGAGAAUAGUAAUAUAUUUUAUACUACUUAGAAUAUAUUUUUAACUGCGUUCACAAGAAAAGCGAAUACAUUUUUCGCUUUUUUCUUUCCUUCACAAAUACAACCAACAUUACAUACCAAACCUUUUAUAACUGAAUCAUUGAAUUUGUUGAUGUAAUUGACAUAUUUUUUAGAUAUGCAAUUCUAUUUUGGACUCUUCUGAAAUAUUUACAAUGUAAUAGAAUUUUUUUAUUCGUACAUAAGUAUAUGUACAGUGGAGUCUGGAUAUAGUGAACUAAUUUCUGCAAGGCCUGUUCGCAGUAUCGAGGUUGUUCACUAUAUUAAGGUUAACUUUUUUUUUUUAACUUUGUUUAUUAGCUUUAAAUUCAUGUUUGUUUAUGUAAACAAAACAGGUUAUAUGUAUAAAGUAAUUUUUUGAAAAAUACAUACAUAUUAUUGAAAGAAUUUACGAAUAGAUGUUUGCUUUUGGAUUUCGGAAAUUGACUUUUGGACCGCUUUUUCGCGUAGACUUUUCAGUACUAGUAUGCCAGCAUAGUCAGUGGUGUUAGCUUCAGCCCAUGCGAUAGCUAUAUCGAAGCUUUCAAUAUCUUGUUCAGUGUAGAUUUCCUAAAACAAAUAAUGUUCACAUAAAAACUUAAUUAACAGGUGCUUGUCAAGAGGGUGAAUAAAAUUACCUCGGGUAAUACAACUUGCAGCAGGCUCUGUAUAUCAUGAACUUCUUUCCAUUUUUCCUGCAAUAUUUUUUGACGAAGUAAGCUCAAAGGAAUAUCAUCGUAUUCAUCCUCGCUUUCAUUUGCUUCUGUAGUAUUAAGCAUUCUAAUAAAGGCUUCCAACAUUUUACUAUUACAUUUGCCUGCAGCUGAUUCCAAGCAAGCAUUAAAAAUGAUACAGCAUCCUUUAAAGUUAAAUGUUUUACAAAUUGUGUGAUGUCAUCCUUUCCUACAGUUAAGCGAAUCACAUUUUGAUCCAUAGGCUGAAUUAAAGGCGUUACAUUUGGAGGCAUAUAAAUCACGAAUAUGGAUCCAUCAGCAGUUUUAAGUUCAUCUUCUGGAGGAUGGCAAGGGGGGUAACUGGACAAUUUUUGUUUCGUUGAGCUAUAAACCACUUGUAUAACAUCUUCUCCAUGCGGGGAUACUCGACUUUUCUAAGAGUCUUCCGCUUAGAUGCUCCGACUGCCUGGUGGGAUAUAAUACUACGAGCAUUUUUUUUUAUU